UAGCCACUAAAAUAUAGGCUACCUAUAGGCUACCAGGUAACAUCUUAAUUUCACCUUUUUUUCAUUGAGGUAAAGUCUUGUGCUGCCAUCUUGAAAUCCAACGUGUUCAAUGUGUCUUAGCUGCUAGCGCAUUAGCUGCAUCACUCCUCCUCCAGACCACUGUGCAGCGCUGUCUGAAUUCCACUAUGCAGAGAGAAGCCCCUCUGGUGGCACGCUUGACACAUGCAGAACACAGGCAUGGUUUUAGCCAGUGUAUCCCAGUCAGGGUACAGCUUGCUGAACUCAUAGAUAAGCACUUUGCAUGCUGCUGCAAAAGUUAAACCCCCAUAACCGUGAAGCGCCAUUAUCAGUGUCACUAUAUCUCAAUGUGUGCGCUUGGAAUCCAUGAGAGGGGGAAAAAAAUACUGUUUCACUGUCAGAACAGAAAUGUCCUGUUUAGGGAUAGGUUUUAAUUUAUUGUUGUUUAAUACAAUUUACCAGGCAAAACAACUGUAAUUACCGACUAACGGAAACCCUGGUGUCUUCGUUUGUGUGUCUUUUCCUGCAAUUUGUUCAUAUUGUAGACAUUACGAGCUGGGUUUGUUUAUGUAGGUUAUGUACAGUAGGAUGCUUUAUUUCUAAGCCUAUUGAGCUCAGGCUAGGCUUUGAGCAUGUGGUAUUUCCUCUGUUCCGCUUCUGAUAAAAGAAAAGUGCAUAUGAUGACGCAUUGUGCUCGAGCAUCCUGCUUUUACAUCUUCUCUGAAUGGCCUGGCUGCGUCUGAUAUCCGCGCAGUGGGUUACCCUGCUAUUAAAUACAAGAGGCCAUUUGAAGCACUAGACGUGAGGACAGUGUGCUCAGCAGCAGUUCUCCACUCGGUGUGGAUACCUUCAAACUCCAGGGUUGCAUGUGUUGUGUUCAGAUAUGAAUGUAUUAAUGUUAUGUAGAUGAUCAGGGGAGAUGGUGGUGAAGGAGGCAGUGAUGGAGACAGAGAUAGUGCUGCCGGUGACAUGCCUUCGUGACCCGAGGCACAUUACUGUGAGCCCA
Long non-coding RNA from Clupea harengus (Atlantic herring), 1024 nucleotides. The record is from Ensembl. Lineage: Eukaryota; Metazoa; Chordata; Actinopteri; Clupeiformes; Clupeidae.